This 361-nucleotide long non-coding RNA is filed under the name Homo sapiens (human). RNAcentral describes it as "HSALNT0166370". Lineage: Eukaryota; Metazoa; Chordata; Mammalia; Primates; Hominidae. The record is from RNAcentral.
CCAGGAAUGAGCUUUAAGGUUUACCAGUUGUGCUGAAUAGACUAAAUGUUGAAAGCAUCUCACAGCUACUUUCAUUUUAAUGAGCAAGUACAGCUACAAUAUUCAAUAUUUCAAACUUCAAACUGCAUUCUUUAUCACUAUUAGACUCAGAACUACAUUGUUUUCCUGCAAUUGUGGUUUAUUGUAAUCUUAAUUCAUUUUCUCAAAGACCAUUCAACACAUUUAUACUAUUCCAGUAAUUACCAUGCUACCCAGAAAAACAAGUGAACAGUUUUAUUAAGAAUUAAAUGAGGGUAUGGAAUGUGAUACAGUACAAGUAAGACACUGAAGAUGGGUAUAAUAGUACUACUUGCACAAAAAG